RNAcentral lists this ribosomal RNA (452 nucleotides) under uncultured Alloprevotella sp. RNAcentral's name for it is "partial 16S ribosomal RNA". It matches the Rfam family "Bacterial small subunit ribosomal RNA", at positions 341 to 792 of the family's 1533-position model. Lineage: Bacteria; Pseudomonadati; Bacteroidota; Bacteroidia; Bacteroidales; Prevotellaceae. The record is from RNAcentral.
ACGGAAGGCAGCAGUGAGGAAUAUUGGUCAAUGGGCGGAAGCCUGAACUAGCCAAGUCGCGUGAAGGAUGAAGGUUCUAUGGAUUGUAAAGUGCUUUAGUAUGGGAAUAAAGUGAGGGACGUGUCCCUUUUUGUAUGUACCAUAAGAAUAAGGACCGGCUAAUUCCGUGCCAGCAGCCGCGGUAAUACGGAAGGUCCAGGCGUUAUCCGGAUUUAUUGGGUUUAAAGGGAGCGUAGGCGGAUUAUCAAGUCAGUGGUAAAAUCGUGUGGCCCAACCAUACCUCGCCAUUGAAACUGUUAGUCUUGAGUGCACGCAGGGAUGCUGGAAUUCGUUGUGUAGCGGUGAAAUGCUUAGAUAUGACGAAGAACUCCGAUCGCGAAGGCAGGUGUCUGGAGUGCAACUGACGCUGAGGCUCGAAAGUGCGGGUAUCAAACAGGAUUGAUACCCUGGUA